Molecule: long non-coding RNA, 310 nt
Organism: Motacilla alba alba
Lineage: Eukaryota; Metazoa; Chordata; Aves; Passeriformes; Motacillidae
Exons: 4
Source: RefSeq, a predicted model, not a curated record
GGGACGGGGGAACUAGGGGGGCCGCGGGUGCGGGAGGACCUGUGGCAGGACGGCGCUGAGCUGGAGCGAGAUGUGAAGAUUUCCUGCUGGACUUCAUCCCGCUGCUGAGUGGGGAUUUCCUCCCCUGAGACAGAAGACAUAAACUUUGACACCAACCAGGAGAAAAUUAGAGUCUUCCUUGAGAGGUGCAGUGAGUGAGUUUUGAUGCCAGGGUGAUGAAGGGUUUGAAAAUUCUUCCCUGAUCCUAUGUUGUUUGGAGAGUGAUGCUGCCUAGGUGGAGUCUCCAUCCCCGGAGGGAUUUGAAAGGCAA